ACUGUGACCUGGGAGAUGUAAGAAAAAUAAACCAUUUCUUCCCCAAGUUGGUAGUGGUCAAAGUGUUUUGUCACAGCAGUGGAGAAACAAAUUAGAACACCUGUGAUUUCCCCAAAUGCGGGCAACUCAACUGCAUAAUUUGUGGUAGUGGGGGACUGCAUUCACCCUCU
RNAcentral lists this small nuclear RNA (170 nucleotides) under Nannospalax galili (Upper Galilee mountains blind mole rat). RNAcentral describes it as "U1 spliceosomal RNA (ENSNGAG00000008636.1)". Lineage: Eukaryota; Metazoa; Chordata; Mammalia; Rodentia; Spalacidae. The record is from RNAcentral.